AGCGAGGUGGAGCAAUGGUAGCUUGUCAGGCUCAUAACCUGAAGGUUAUAGGUUCGAAUCCUAUCCUCGCUA
This 72-nucleotide transfer RNA is filed under the name marine sediment metagenome. It matches the Rfam family "tRNA". Rfam says of the family: Transfer RNA (tRNA) molecules are approximately 80 nucleotides in length. Their secondary structure includes four short double-helical elements and three loops (D, anti-codon, and T loops). Further hydrogen bonds mediate the characteristic L-shaped molecular structure. tRNAs have two regions of fundamental functional importance: the anti-codon, which is responsible for specific mRNA codon recognition, and the 3' end, to which the tRNAs corresponding amino acid is attached (by aminoacyl-tRNA synthetases). tRNAs cope with the degeneracy of the genetic code in two manners: having more than one tRNA (with a specific anti-codon) for a particular amino acid; and 'wobble' base-pairing, i.e. permitting non-standard base-pairing at the 3rd anti-codon position. The record is from RNAcentral.